UACGUAGGUGGCAAGCGUUAUCCGGAAUUAUUGGGCGUAAAGAGGGAGCAGGCGGCAGCAAAGGUCUGUGGUGAAAGACUGAAGCUUAACUUCAGUAAGCCAUAGAAACCAGGCAGCUAGAGUGCAGGAGAGGAUCGUGGAAUUCCAUGUGUAGCGGUGAAAUGCGUAGAUAUAUGGAGGAACACCAGUGGCGAAGGCGACGAUCUGGCCUGUAACUGACGCUCAGUCCCGAAAGCGUGGGGAGCAAAUAGG
Molecule: ribosomal RNA, 252 nt
Filed under: uncultured bacterium
Lineage: Bacteria
Description: partial 16S ribosomal RNA
Rfam family: Bacterial small subunit ribosomal RNA
Source: RNAcentral